This 90-nucleotide transfer RNA is filed under the name Caudoviricetes sp. Its description in RNAcentral is "tRNA-Tyr". It matches the Rfam family "tRNA". Rfam says of the family: Transfer RNA (tRNA) molecules are approximately 80 nucleotides in length. Their secondary structure includes four short double-helical elements and three loops (D, anti-codon, and T loops). Lineage: Duplodnaviria; Heunggongvirae; Uroviricota; Caudoviricetes. The record is from RNAcentral.
GGGAAAGUGGCAACGAUUGGCGGUGUUGCGGCGGUCUGUAAAACCGUUCCCUCGUGGUAAACAUUAUAGGUUCAACUCCUAUCUUUCCCA